This 253-nucleotide ribosomal RNA is filed under the name uncultured bacterium. RNAcentral describes it as "partial 16S ribosomal RNA". It matches the Rfam family "Bacterial small subunit ribosomal RNA", at positions 524 to 776 of the family's 1533-position model. The record is from RNAcentral.
UACGUAGGGUCCGAGCGUUGUCCGGAAUUAUUGGGCGUAAAGAGCUCGUAGGCGGUUUGUCGCGUCUGCUGUGAAAUCCCGAGGCUCAACCUCGGGCCUGCAGUGGGUACGGGCAGACUGGAGUGCGGUAGGGGAGAAUGGAAUUCCUGGUGUAGCGGUGGAAUGCGCAGAUAUCAGGAGGAACACCGGUGGCGAAGGCGGGUCUCUGGGCCGAUACUGACGCUGAGGAGCGAAAGCGUGGGGAGCAAACAGG